This 429-nucleotide ribosomal RNA is filed under the name Bacteroidota bacterium. Its description in RNAcentral is "Bacteroidetes bacterium partial 16S ribosomal RNA". It matches the Rfam family "Bacterial small subunit ribosomal RNA", at positions 355 to 776 of the family's 1533-position model. Lineage: Bacteria; Pseudomonadati; Bacteroidota. The record is from RNAcentral.
UAGGGAAUCUUCGGCAAUGGGGGGAACCCUGACCGAGCAACGCCGCGUGAGUGAAGAAGGAUUUCGGUUCGUAAAACUCUGUUGUUAGAGAAGAACAGCGCAUAGAGUAACUGUUAUGCGUGUGACGGUAUCUAACCAGAAAGCCACGGCUAACUACGUGCCAGCAGCCGCGGUAAUACGUAGGUGGCAAGCGUUGUCCGGAUUUAUUGGGCGUAAAGCGAGCGCAGGCGGUCAAUUAAGUCUGAUGUGAAAGCCCCCGGCUCAACCGGGGAGGGUCAUUGGCAACUGGUUGACUUGAGUGCAGAAGAGGAGAGUGGAAUUCCAUGUGUAGCGGUGAAAUGCGUAGAUAUAUGGAGGCACACCAGUGGCGAAGGCGACUCUCUGGUCUGUCACUGACGCUGUGGUUCGAAAGCGUGGGUAGCAAACAGG